CACAAGAAGGUGGCGGUAGGGGGUGGAAUGCGUAGGGUCCGGGGGGUUUGCUGAAUUGUUGGGCGUGAAGGUGUGGGGUGCGGUUGGUCGCGGCUGUAGGGAAAACGUCGGGCGUAACUCGGAGCUUGCUUUCGAUACGGGCAGACUUGAGGGAUUCAGGGGAGAACGGAAUUCCGGGUGUAGCGGUGAAAUGCGCAGAUAUCAGGAGGAACACCGGUGGCGAAGGCGGUUCUCUGGGAAUGGUCUGACGCUGAGGAGCGAAAGUGUGGGGAGCGAACAGGAUUAGAUACCCCAGUAGUC
This 300-nucleotide ribosomal RNA is filed under the name uncultured bacterium. RNAcentral's name for it is "bacterial SSU rRNA". The stretch from base 53 to 300 matches the Rfam family "Bacterial small subunit ribosomal RNA", at positions 548 to 795 of the family's 1533-position model. The record is from RNAcentral.